GUCGGGAAUUUUGGGCAAUGGGCGAAAGCCUGACCCAGCAACGCCGCGUGAAGGAUGAAGUAUUUCGGUAUGUAAACUUCGAAAGAAUAGGAAGAAUAAAUGACGGUACUAUUUAUAAGGUCCGGCUAACUACGUGCCAGCAGCCGCGGUAAUACGUAGGGACCAAGCGUUGUUCGGAUUUACUGGGCGUAAAGGGCGCGUAGGCGGCUUUGUAAGUCACUUGUGAAAUCUCUGAGCUUAACUCAGAACGGCCAAGUGAUACUGCAAUGCUAGAGUGCAGAAGGGGCAAUCGGAAUUCUUGGUGUAGCGGUGAAAUGCGUAGAUAUCAAGAGGAACACCUGAGGUGAAGACGGGUUGCUGGGCUGACACUGACGCUGAUGCGCGAAAGCCAGGGGAGCAAACGGGAUUAGAUACCCCUGUAGUCC
This 425-nucleotide ribosomal RNA is filed under the name uncultured bacterium. Its description in RNAcentral is "bacterial SSU rRNA". It matches the Rfam family "Bacterial small subunit ribosomal RNA", at positions 354 to 796 of the family's 1533-position model. The record is from RNAcentral.